RNAcentral lists this unclassified non-coding RNA (150 nucleotides) under soil metagenome. RNAcentral's name for it is "partial internal transcribed spacer 1". The record is from RNAcentral.
CCGAGUUAUACAACUCAUCAACCCUGUGAACAUACCUAUAACGUUGCCUCGGCGGGAACAGACGGCCCCGUAACACGGGCCGCCCCCGCCAGAGGACCCCCUAACUCUGUUUCUAUAAUGUUUCUUCUGAGUAGACAAGCAAAUAAAUUA